GAGGUUGGCUUAGAAGCAGCCAUUCCUUAAAAGAGUGCGUAAUAGCUCACUGGUCAAGCGACCCUGCGCCGAAAAUACAACGGGGCUCAAGUUGUUAACCGAAGAUGUAAAAUCGUAAGAUUGGUAGCGGAGCGUUCUGUAAGCCGCAGAAGGUGAGGGGUAACCCGAGCUGGAGGUAUCAGAAGCGAAAAUGUUGGUAUGAGUAACGAGAGGGAAAUGAAAACAUUCCCCAUCGGAAACCCAAGGUUUCCUACGCAACGGCAGUCGUCGUAGGGUUAGUCGGUCCUAAGGUGAAGCUGAAAGGCAAAGCUGAUGGAUACCAGGUUAAUAUUCCUGGACUACUUAUAUAACUGAAGGGGGGACAUAUUUGGAUAUAAGAGAUACUUAAUUACUUGUAUUACGAAAGCGAAACUAGGGAUAUAGGCAAAUCCGUAUUCCUGUUAAAGUUGAGCUAAGUUAAGUUGAUGGAAGCCAUUAUUGGUGGAAAGAUUCUGCUCUUACUAUAUUCAGGUAUCGAGAAAAGCCUCUAAGGGUUAAUUGUAUAAGUAACCGUACCGCAAUCAAACACAUGUGGGUUGGUGGAGAACACCAAGAUGAACGAGAAAACUAUGCUUAAGGAACUCGGCAAAACAGCGGUCGUAACUUCGGGAUAAGACCUGCCUAGAGUGUAAUUUACAAACUAGGCCGCAGCGAAAGAACUCAGGCGACUGUUUACCAAAAACACAGCUCUCUGCGAACUCGUAAGAGGAAGUAUAGGGGGUGAUGCCUGCCCAGUGUCAGAAGGUUACAUGGAUGUGUGAGAGCAUUGAAAUCAAGCCCUGAUGAACGGCGGCCGUAACUAUAACGGUCCUAAGGUAGCGAAAUUCCUUGUCGGGUAAGUUCCGACCCGCACGAAUGGCAUAACGGUCUGAGUACUGUCUCAAGCAUAGACUCGGUGAAAUUGCAAUUACGGUAAAAAUGCCGUAUACUCGCAGCAAGACGGAAAGACCCUAUGGAGCUUUACUAUAGCUUGGUAUUGGGUUAUGGUUUAAGAUGUGCAGGAUAGGUGGGAGACGAAGAAGUGGGAACGCAAGUUCUUAUGGAGUCACUGUUGAGAUACCACCCUUCUUAAAACGUAACUCUAACUCUAGAAGAGGACAGUGCUUGGUGGGUAGUUUAACUGGGGCGGUUGCCUCCUAAAGAGUAACGGAGGCGCACAAAGGUUGACUAUCUCCGGAUGGAAAUCGGAGAGAUAGUGUAUUCGCAAAAGUCAGCCUGACUGAGAGACUAACAAGUCGAGCAGAUACGAAAGUAGGUGAAAAUGAUCCGGCAUUAACAAGUGGAAGUGAUGUCGCUCAACGGAUAAAAGUUACCCUAGGGAUAACAGGCUGAUCGCGUCCAAGAGUUCAUAUCGACG
This 1396-nucleotide ribosomal RNA is filed under the name human oral metagenome. Its description in RNAcentral is "bacterial LSU rRNA". It matches the Rfam family "Bacterial large subunit ribosomal RNA", at positions 1097 to 2510 of the family's 2925-position model. The record is from RNAcentral.